This 693-nucleotide ribosomal RNA is filed under the name uncultured bacterium. RNAcentral describes it as "bacterial SSU rRNA". It matches the Rfam family "Bacterial small subunit ribosomal RNA", at positions 111 to 803 of the family's 1533-position model. The record is from RNAcentral.
UAACACGUAUCCAACCUGCCUCAUACUCGGGGACAGCCUUUCGAAAGAAAGAUUAAUACCCGAUGUCAUAGUCCUACCGCAUGAUGGGAUUAUUAAAGAAUUUCGGUAUGGGAUGGGGAUGCGUUCCAUUAGUUAGUUGGCGGGGUGACGGCCCACCAAGACAACGAUGGAUAGGGGUUCUGAGAGGAAGGUCCCCCACAUUGGAACUGAGACACGGUCCAAACUCCUACGGGAGGCAGCAGUGAGGAAUAUUGGUCAAUGGACGAGAGUCUGAACCAGCCAAGUAGCGUGAAGGAUGACUGCCCUAUGGGUUGUAAACUUCUUUUAUAUGGGAAUAAAACGUUCCACGUGUGGAAUUUUGUAUGUACCAUAUGAAUAAGGAUCGGCUAACUCCGUGCCAGCAGCCGCGGUAAUACGGAGGAUCCGAGCGUUAUCCGGAUUUAUUGGGUUUAAAGGGAGCGUAGGUGGAUUGUUAAGUCAGUUGUGAAAGUUUGCGGCUCAACCGUAAAAUUGCAGUUGAAACUGGCAGUCUUGAGUACAGUAGAGGUGGGCGGAAUUCGUGGUGUAGCGGUGAAAUGCUUAGAUAUCACGAAGAACUCCGAUCGCGAAGGCAGCUCACUGGACUGCAACUGACACUGAGGCUCGAAAGUGUGGGUAUCAAACAGGAUUAGAUACCCUGGUAGUCCACACAGU